GCAAGCGUUAUCCGGAAUUAUUGGGCGUAAAGCGCGCGUAGGCGGUUUUUAAGUCUGAUGUGAAAGCCCACGGCUCAACCGUGGAGGGUCAUUGGAAACUGGAGAACUUGAGUGCAGAAGAGGAAAGUGGAAUUCCAUGUGUAGCGGUGAAAUGCGCAGAGAUAUGGAGGAACACCAGUGGCGAAGGCGACUUUCUGGUCUGUAACUGACGCUGAUGUGCGAAAGCGUGGGGAUCAAACAGGAUUAGAUACCCUGGUAGUCAAGGGCG
Molecule: ribosomal RNA, 268 nt
Filed under: uncultured Staphylococcus sp.
Lineage: Bacteria; Bacillati; Bacillota; Bacilli; Caryophanales; Staphylococcaceae
Description: partial 16S ribosomal RNA
Rfam family: Bacterial small subunit ribosomal RNA
Source: RNAcentral